CUGGCGGCGUGCCUAAUACAUGCAAGUCGAACGAGUUCUCGUUGAUGAUCGGUGCUUGCACCGAGAUUCAACAUGGAACGAGUGGCGGACGGGUGAGUAACACGUGGGUAACCUGCCCUUAAGUGGGGGAUAACAUUUGGAAACAGAUGCUAAUACCGCAUAGAUCCAAGAACCGCAUGGUUCUUGGCUGAAAGAUGGCGUAAGCUAUCGCUUUUGGAUGGACCCGCGGCGUAUUAGCUAGUUGGUGAGGUAAUGGCUCACCAAGGCGAUGAUACGUAGCCGAACUGAGAGGUUGAUCGGCCACAUUGGGACUGAGACACGGCCCAAACUCCUACGGGAGGCAGCAGUAGGGAAUCUUCCACAAUGGACGCAAGUCUGAUGGAGCAACGCCGCGUGAGUGAAGAAGGCUUUCGGGUCGUAAAACUCUGUUGUUGGAGAAGAAUGGUCGGCAGAGUAACUGUUGUCGGCGUGACGGUAUCCAACCAGAAAGCCACGGCUAACUACGUGCCAGCAGCCGCGGUAAUACGUAGGUGGCAAGCGUUAUCCGGAUUUAUUGGGCGUAAAGCGAGCGCAGGCGGUUUUUUAAGUCUGAUGUGAAAGCCCUCGGCUUAACCGAGGAAGCGCAUCGGAAACUGGGAAACUUGAGUGCAGAAGAGGACAGUGGAACUCCAUGUGUAGCGGUGAAAUGCGUAGAUAUAUGGAAGAACACCAGUGGCGAAGGCGGCUGUCUGGUCUGUAACUGACGCUGAGGCUCGAAAGCAUGGGUAGCGAACAGGAUUAGAUACCCUGGUAGUCCAUGCCGUAAACGAUGAAUGCUAGGUGUUGGAGGGUUUCCGCCCUUCAGUGCCGCAGCUAACGCAUUAAGCAUUCCGCCUGGGGAGUACGACCGCAAGGUUGAAACUCAAAGGAAUUGACGGGGGCCCGCACAAGCGGUGGAGCAUGUGGUUUAAUUCGAAGCAACGCGAAGAACCUUACCAGGUCUUGACAUCUUUUGAUCACCUGAGAGAUCAGGUUUCCCCUUCGGGGGCAAAAUGACAGGUGGUGCAUGGUUGUCGUCAGCUCGUGUCGUGAGAUGUUGGGUUAAGUCCCGCAACGAGCGCAACCCUUAUGACUAGUUGCCAGCAUUUAGUUGGGCACUCUAGUAAGACUGCCGGUGACAAACCGGAGGAAGGUGGGGAUGACGUCAAAUCAUCAUGCCCCUUAUGACCUGGGCUACACACGUGCUACAAUGGAUGGUACAACGAGUUGCGAGACCGCGAGGUCAAGCUAAUCUCUUAAAGCCAUUCUCAGUUCGGACUGUAGGCUGCAACUCGCCUACACGAAGUCGGAAUCGCUAGUAAUCGCGGAUCAGCACGCCGCGGUGAAUACGUUCCCGGGCCUUGUACACACCGCCCGUCACACCAUGAGAGUUUGUAACACCCGAAGCCGGUGGCGUAACCCUUUUAGGGAGCGAGCCGUCUAAGGUGGGACAA
This 1472-nucleotide ribosomal RNA is filed under the name Lacticaseibacillus casei. RNAcentral's name for it is "bacterial SSU rRNA". It matches the Rfam family "Bacterial small subunit ribosomal RNA". Lineage: Bacteria; Bacillati; Bacillota; Bacilli; Lactobacillales; Lactobacillaceae. The record is from RNAcentral.